GACGAACGCUGGCGGCGUGCUUAACACAUGCAAGUCGAACGGAAAGGCCCUGCUUUUGUGGGGUGCUCGAGUGGCGAACGGGUGAGUAACACGUGAGUAACCUGCCCUUGACUUUGGGAUAACUUCAGGAAACUGGGGCUAAUACCGGAUAGGAGCUCCUGCUGCAUGGUGGGGGUUGGAAAGUUUCGGCGGUUGGGGAUGGACUCGCGGCUUAUCAGCUUGUUGGUGGGGUAGUGGCUUACCAAGGCUUUGACGGGUAGCCGGCCUGAGAGGGUGACCGGCCACAUUGGGACGGAGAUACGGCCCAGACUCCUACGGGAGGCAGCAGUGGGGAAUAUUGCACAAUGGGCGGAAGCCUGAUGCAGCAACGCCGCGUGCGGGAUGACGGCCUUCGGGUUGUAAACCACUUUCGCCUGUGACGAAGCGUGAGUGACGGUAAUGGGUAAAGAAGCACCGGCUAACUACGUG
Molecule: ribosomal RNA, 468 nt
Filed under: uncultured bacterium
Lineage: Bacteria
Description: partial 16S ribosomal RNA
Rfam family: Bacterial small subunit ribosomal RNA
Source: RNAcentral